RNAcentral lists this ribosomal RNA (254 nucleotides) under uncultured bacterium. RNAcentral's name for it is "partial 16S ribosomal RNA". It matches the Rfam family "Bacterial small subunit ribosomal RNA", at positions 524 to 776 of the family's 1533-position model. The record is from RNAcentral.
UACGGGGGGGGCAAGCGUUGUUCGGAAUUACUGGGCGUAAAGGGCUCGUAGGUGGCCAACUAAGUCAGACGUGAAAUCCCCAGGCUCAACUUGGGAACUGCGUCUGAUACUGGAUGGCUUGAAUUCGGGAGAGGGAUGCAGAAUUCCAGGUGUAGCGGUGAAAUGCGUAGAUAUCUGGAGGGAUACCGGUGGCGAAGGCGGCAUCCUGGACCGAGAUUGACACUGAGUGAGCGAAAGCCAGGGGAGCAAACGGG